AGAGUUUGAUCCUGGCUCAGAACGAACGCUGGCGGCGCGCCUAAUACAUGCAAGUCGAGCGAGAAGACGUAGCAAUACGUUUGUAAAGCGGCGAACGGGUGAGGAAUACAUGGGUAACCUACCCUCGAGUGGGGAAUAACUAGCCGAAAGGUUAGCUAAUACCGCAUACGACUCUCGGUCUGCGGAUCGAGAGGGAAAGCGAUACCGUGGGUAUCGCGCUCAUGGAUGGGCUCAUGUCCUAUCAGCUUGUUGGUGAGGUAAUGGCUCACCAAGGCUUCGACGGGUAGCUGGUCUGAGAGGACGAUCAGCCACACUGGCACUGCGACACGGGCCAGACUCCUACGGGAGGCAGCAGUAAGGAAUAUUGCGCAAUGGGCGACAGCCUGACGCAGCGACGCCGCGUGGGGGAUGAAGGUCUUCGGAUUGUAAACCCCUUUCGGCAGGGAAGAUGGAACGGGUAACCGUUCGGACGGUACCUGCAGAAGCAGCCACGGCUAACUUCGUGCCAGCAGCCGCGGUAAUACGAAGGUGGCAAGCGUUGUUCGGAUUUACUGGGCGUACAGGGAGCGUAGGCGGUUGGGUAAGCCCUCCGUGAAAUCUCCGGGCCUAACCCGGAAAGUGCGGAGGGGACUGCUCGGCUAGAGGAUGGGAGAGGAGCGCGGAAUUCCCGGUGUAGCGGUGAAAUGCGUAGAGAUCGGGAGGAAGGCCGGUGGCGAAGGCGGCGCUCUGGAACAUUUCUGACGCUGAGGCUCGAAAGCGUGGGGAGCAAACAGGAUUAGAUACCCUGGUAGUCCACGCCU
RNAcentral lists this ribosomal RNA (800 nucleotides) under uncultured bacterium. RNAcentral describes it as "bacterial SSU rRNA". It matches the Rfam family "Bacterial small subunit ribosomal RNA", at positions 8 to 802 of the family's 1533-position model. The record is from RNAcentral.